GUAGGUGGCAAGCGUUGUCCGGAAUUAUUUGGCGUAAAGCGCGCGCAGGCGGUCCUUUAAGUCUGAUGUGAAAGCCCACGGCUCAACCGUGGAGGGUCAUUGGAAACUGGGGGACUUGAGUACAGAAGAGGAAAGCGGAAUUCCAAGUGUAGCGGUGAAAUGCGUAGAGAUUUGGAGGAACACCAGUGGCGAAGGCGGCUUUCUGGUCUGUAACUGACGCUGAGGCGCGAAAGCGUGGGGAGCAAACAGGAUUAGAUACCCUGGUAGUCCACGCCGUAAACGAUGAGUGCUAAGUGUUAGGGGGUUUCCCGCCCCCUUAGUGCUGCAGCUAACGCAUUAAGCACUCCGCCUGGGGAGUACGGCCGCAAGGCUG
This 373-nucleotide ribosomal RNA is filed under the name uncultured organism. RNAcentral describes it as "partial 16S ribosomal RNA". It matches the Rfam family "Bacterial small subunit ribosomal RNA", at positions 527 to 896 of the family's 1533-position model. The record is from RNAcentral.